Long non-coding RNA from Dromiciops gliroides (monito del monte), 3360 nucleotides. RefSeq lists it as uncharacterized. The transcript has 5 exons. The record is from RefSeq and is a predicted model, not a curated record. Lineage: Eukaryota; Metazoa; Chordata; Mammalia; Microbiotheria; Microbiotheriidae.
GAUAGUACAGCUUUCACAGAAGCAAUGGGAUGUCUGAGCACAAGUAGCUGACUUGGGAGUGACUUUAUGAAGCACUUUCUGCCUUCCUUAGGCAUAAAAAAACUGGAAUUCUGCACCUGCAUCAGAAAAGGACCAGGCUAAUUCUGCCACCCAGUAGCAAGAAACUCCCACAGCUAACCAGUUUGAAAUUGAAUCCUAAUAGAUUUGCCAAGCAGAAGACAAAGGUAGCCAAAGAUACUUUGACCCACGCCUCUUACACAGAAGUUGCUGAUGGUCUCCAAAAGAUCUCCAAGAUUCCACAUAGAGAUGAGUCUGCUGUGCUAAAAAUUAGAAAAUGACUCAGUUCUUCCAUUUCUCUACCUAAUUUCUUAAAACCUGAAGUACAGCAAAGAGAAAAAAUACAGUCCCCUUAGGCCAAGGAAGGAAAGAAAGAAGAGAAAAGAAGGAAGCAGAAGGAAGAGUUCCCAUACCACAUGACGCAGUCCUAAAACCAGCUUUAAAUCUAUCAACAACUAUUUAUUAAGUGCCUAAAUGAACAGAAAUCUAUAAUAAUUGAGAAUUGAUGUAGGUAAUUUUGAAAAUACGUGUUCUUUUUUAUGCAUUUAAACACUGCAUGCUGUUCCUAGAACCAGUGAUAUAAAAGGUUAUUUUUUAAAAAUCACAACUGUUUCUUGGCAUCCAUUCAACAUUUCAAGGGUAAGAAAAUAUAUUUGCGAUGGCAACAUCCUCAAAGAGACAAUAGUGCAGACAGUAGCCUUGCCUCCCAAGGUUCUGAGUAAAUUAUGGAGCUUAAAGCUUCAGUGCUUAAGGUUAUAAAUUUAAUUACAACAUUUAUGUAGACAUCAAUGCUUUGUAGCACAGGUGCCAAACCCUGGGUCUGCAAACUUGUCUAAAAAAAACAUUUUGAUAACUGUAUUUCAGUAUAUUUGGGUUCCUUUGUAAUCCUAUAUAUUUUAUUUUAGAAACAUUAUUCUGAAAAGGAAUCCAUAAUUUUCACCAGACACAAAAAAGGUUAAAAAAUGCCUGCUCUGUAAAAAAAGAAAAAAAGUUCCCUCAUAGGGUCAAUCAUUAAUUCAAAACAUAAAGAAAUUAAAUAAUGGUGGGAAGGGGAUUCAAUUGAUAUAAAGAGCCUGUCUUCAAUAUUAUGACUAUUAUUGUUGUUGUUAUUAAUAGUGGCUUGCCAAAAUAUUAAAAAAAGUUGUCCAACCUUAAAUAUAGGCCAAUUUUGUUUAUGAAUUUUACACAAAGCAUUCUUUCCUUAUAUCACUAAAAGCAAUUUAUAAACAAUAACCAGAAAAUAACAUAUUUGCAAAAGUGAUGGGUCAAAAAAUCCCAGAAAUACAAAGAACAACUGAAUAAUAAGCAAUUAUUUAAUAAGCUAUCCUGAAACACCACAGUGCUUAUACUAGCUUUAUUAACAAACAUUUAAAAAGCAUUUGACUGAAUCCUAUACACAUGACUUAUUCAUGUGCUACAAAUAUAUAAAAUGGACCUGACUAUGGUGAGAAUGCUAGAAUGUUUGCUAUCACAUGGAAAAGUGUUCUCUUUUUAAAACAUGGCACCAACAUAAUAAUGUCAAUAGUAAUUAUUAUGAAAUAUAACAUCUUUCUGGGAGAGAGUCUAAGUCCCAUCUGUUUUUACUUAGCCUUAAACACAUUAUCAUCUCUCCAUAAUAGAAUUAAACAUGGCUUUUAAGUGAAAAAGGAAAUAUUACCAAACAUCUUGUUGAUUACUUCAUGUACAUAAAAGACAUCAAACUCUGUGGCUCUACUGGGGAGAGACACAUUAAUCAGCACUUUAAUAUCGUAAAAACUUGCUAUAAUGAUACAAAAAUGUCAUUUGGCAUGUAUCAUAACAAAAACUAAUGGACUCACAUAUUAAUUUAUUAAUGUUGCCUUUAAUUAUGGACCUAUGUGCAUUUACCAUAGUAUUAUUUAUUUCUAAUAUCAUUGAUUAUAAUUAGUUUAUUAAUAAAAUACAGGCCCAUCACCCUACCACAAUUACAGAGAAAUUAACAUUUUUUGCUUUGAAAAGGAGGAGUUUGAUAAGCAUUCUUUGAGCACAUGACAAAGAACGUAGAAGUUUUAGGAACAAGUAAACAAUACUUUGCCAAGCACUAAGAAAACCUGGUACAAACAGGUAUAAAUAACAGGAUUUUUUUUUUCAACCAUAACUGAAAGUCAUUUACUUCUAGUUGAAAUGGCUAUAGAAGAUGGCUCAGAUCCACAAAUGGAAUCAAAAGAAACUUGAUGGACAAUAGCCACAUGACCUGAGUCAACAAUAUUUUGUCAAAGAAUCAUUAAACAGGGAGAAGCCAGGUGUCUCAAUGUAUAAAGAGUGGACCCUGGAUUCAGGAGAACCUGAGUUCAAAUCUGGCCUCAGACACUUAACGCUUACUAGCUGUGUGACCCCGGGCAAGUCAUUUAACCCUCAUUGCUCCACCAAAAAAAAAAAAAAAAGAAUCAUUAAACAAAUGGAUGAGUCAUGAAUUAUCUAUGGAAAUAGAGGAAUUUGUGGUGACACUUCAAGGAUGAUUUAUUGCCACCAAAAAUUACAUAAGGGAAAUCCUUCUCGAACCCAGAUUUUGCCAUCAACAUAGAUUAUACAAGGAGACAGUCAUGGUUGUAUACCACAUUACUUCAUGCUGAAAAAUUUGUCACCUGCCAAAUACCUACGAAGGCAUGACCUAAUAAUUAGUAUUAUGUGUCAGAAGCUUGAUAUCUUUGCAUGCACCAACAAAUGGCUAAUUCCUAUUUAACAAAUAUCAAUCUCAAAAUCUCUUGGAGAACUAAGACAAUAACAUGUGUGCUACAUGGAACGAAAAGGAUUUUUAAAAUUAUGAACACAAUAGAGUAGAACAAAAUUGUGUGUAGACUGAAUAAGGUAGAGAUAGUCCUUGUUGCCCCAUUAUAGGAAUUGUACCAAUGAUUUUUUUCUGCGAGCCUAGUAAUACAAACUGUAUUAUUAAUAAAAAUAAUAUAAGCAGGUAUUUAUUCAUUCAUGAAGAAUGAAUACAAAAUUUUAAAUAUGAAUUUCUUUUAAAUAUAAAAGAAUGAUAGCUAGAUAAUGACAUCUCGGGAUAUUAUCUAAUUGAACCUAUCAAGAAAAUAUAGAAUGAGAUGAUAAUGAUAAUACUAGUGGACAUUUAUAUAGCACUUUAAAUUUUGAAAAGCUCUUUCCAUAUAUUAUUUUAUUUUAUCCAUAUACCAAACCCUAUGGAAUAUAGUUUAUUUCAAAAUACUUUAUGGGAAAUAAGAUUCAAAAAAUUAUAGCAUAUAGAAUGGCAAAGUAUUCUCUAGACAAUUUUGAGAAAUUCUGUUGCUAAUGUCAUGUACUCUGUUUCUUUCUCUUCUAUUUUUU